CCAGACUCCUACGGGAGGCAGCAGUGAGGAAUAUUGGUCAAUGGGCUUACGCCUGAACCAGCCAAGUCGCGUGAGGGAAGACGGCCCUACGGGUUGUAAACCUCUUUUGUCGGGGAGCAAAGCGAGUCACGUGUGACUCAUUGCGAGUACCCGAAGAAAAAGCAUCGGCUAACUCCGUGCCAGCAGCCGCGGUAAUACGGAAGGACCGGGCGUUAUCCGGAGUUAUUGGGUUUAAAGGGAGCGUAGGCCGGUCUUUAAGCGUGCCGUGAAAUUUUGUGGCUCAACCAUGAGAGUGCGGCGCGAACUGGAGACCUUGAGUGCGCGGAAGGCAGGCGGAAUUCGUGGUGGAGCGGUGAAAUGCUUAGAUAUAACGAAGAGCCCCGAUUGCGAAGGCAGCAUACCGGCGCUCAACUGACGCUCAUGCACGAAAGUGUGGGGAUCGAACAGGAUUAGAUACCCUUGUAGAC
This 467-nucleotide ribosomal RNA is filed under the name uncultured bacterium. Its description in RNAcentral is "bacterial SSU rRNA". It matches the Rfam family "Bacterial small subunit ribosomal RNA", at positions 331 to 795 of the family's 1533-position model. The record is from RNAcentral.